UACGUAGGGGGCAAGCGUUGUCCGGAAUUAUUGGGCGUAAAGAGCGUGUAGGCGGUCCGGUAAGUCAGCUGUGAAAGUCAAGGGCUCAACCCUUGAAUGCCGGUUGAUACUGUCGGGCUAGAGUCCGGAAGAGGCGAGUGGAAUUCCCGGUGUAGCGGUGAAAUGCGCAGAUAUCGGGAGGAACACCAAUGGCGAAGGCAGCUCGCUAGGACGGUACUGACGCUGAGACGCGAAAGCGUGGGGAGCAAACAGG
RNAcentral lists this ribosomal RNA (253 nucleotides) under uncultured bacterium. RNAcentral's name for it is "partial 16S ribosomal RNA". It matches the Rfam family "Bacterial small subunit ribosomal RNA", at positions 524 to 776 of the family's 1533-position model. The record is from RNAcentral.